GGACGAACGCUGGCGGAGUGCCUAAUACAUGCAAGAUCGAACGCUUACUUUCCAUCCCGAGAUGCUUGCACAUCAAUUGGAACACGACGUGAGUAGGCGGACGGGUAGAGUAACACGUGGGUAACCUGCCCAUACAGAGGGGGAUAACACUUGGAAACAGGUGCUAAUACCGCAUAACCAGUAUAUGCCGCAUGGCAUAAGAGUGAAAGGCGCUUUCGGGUGUCGCUGAUGGAUGGACCCGCGGUGCAUAUAGCUAGUUAGGUGAGGUAAACGGAUCACCAAGGACCACGAUGCAUAGCCGACCUGAGAGGGUGAUCGGCCACACUGGGACUGAAACACGGAACCAGAACUCCUACGGGAGGACAGCAGAUCAGAGGAAUCUUCGGCAAUGGACGAAAGUCUGACCGAGCAACGCCGCGUGAGUGACAGAAGGUAUCACGGAUCGUAAAACUCUGUUGUACAGAGAAGAACAAGGACCGUACAGUAACUGAACGUCCCCUGACGGUAUCUAAACAGAAAGCCACGGCUAACUCACGUGCCAGACAGCCGCGGUACAUACGUAAGGUGGCAAAGCGUAAGACACGGACUACAAUCUGGAGCCGU
This 603-nucleotide ribosomal RNA is filed under the name uncultured low G+C Gram-positive bacterium. Its description in RNAcentral is "bacterial SSU rRNA". It matches the Rfam family "Bacterial small subunit ribosomal RNA", at positions 33 to 541 of the family's 1533-position model. Lineage: Bacteria; Bacillati; Bacillota. The record is from RNAcentral.